RNAcentral lists this ribosomal RNA (808 nucleotides) under uncultured Bacillota bacterium. RNAcentral describes it as "bacterial SSU rRNA". It matches the Rfam family "Bacterial small subunit ribosomal RNA", at positions 1 to 799 of the family's 1533-position model. Lineage: Bacteria; Bacillati; Bacillota. The record is from RNAcentral.
AGGGAGUUUGAUCCUGGCUCAGGAUGAACGCUGGCGGCGUGCUUAACACAUGCAAGUCGAACGGAACUUUUCUCCCGAAGAAGCGGAGUGCUUGCACAAAGUAGAUUCAUUUGAAAAGUUUAGUGGCGGACGGGUGAGUAACGCGUGGGUAACCUGCCUUACACAGGGGGACAACAGUUGGAAACGACUGCUAAUACCGCAUAAGCGCACAGUACCGCAUGGUACAGUGUGAAAAACUCCGGUGGUGUAAGAUGGACCCGCGUCUGAUUAGCUAGUUGGUGAGGUAACGGCCCACCAAGGCGACGAUCAGUAGCCGGCCUGAGAGGGUGAACGGCCACAUUGGGACUGAGACACGGCCCAAACUCCUACGGGAGGCAGCAGUGGGGAAUAUUGGACAAUGGGGGAAACCCUGAUCCAGCGACGCCGCGUGAGUGAAGAAGUAUUUCGGUAUGUAAAGCUCUAUCAGCAAGGAAGAAAAUGACGGUACUUGACUAAGAAGCCCCGGCUAACUACGUGCCAGCAGCCGCGGUAAUACGUAGGGGGCAAGCGUUAUCCGGAUUUACUGGGUGUAAAGGGAGCGUAGACGGUUUGGCAAGUCUGAAGUGAAAGCCCAGGGCUUAACCCUGGGACUGCUUUGGAAACUGUUAAACUAGAGUGCAGGAGAGGUAAGUGGAAUUCCUAGUGUAGCGGUGAAAUGCGUAGAUAUUAGGAGGAACACCAGUGGCGAAGGCGGCUUACUGGACUGUAACUGACGUUGAGGCUCGAAAGCGUGGGGAGCAAACAGGAUUAGAUACCCUGGUAGUCCCCU